Molecule: ribosomal RNA, 407 nt
Filed under: uncultured microorganism
Description: bacterial SSU rRNA
Rfam family: Bacterial small subunit ribosomal RNA
Source: RNAcentral
CAGCCGCCGCGCUAAUACGUAGGGGGCGAGCGUUACCCGGAUUCACUGGGCGUAAAGGGGGUGUAGGCGGCUCGGUAAGUCGGGUGUGAAAUCCCACGGCUCAACCGUGGAAUUGCGCCCGAAACUGCCGAGCUUGGGGCCGGUAGAGGGAGACGGAACUGCCGGUGUAGGGGUGAAAUCCGUAGAUAUCGGCAGGAACGCCGGUGGGGAAGCCGGUCUCCUGGGCCGCGCCCGACGCUGAGGCCCGAAAGCUAGGGGAGCAAACCGGAUUAGAUACCCGGGUAGUCCUAGCCGUAAACGAUGCCCACUAGGUGUGGGGGAGUAUUUCCUCCGUGCUGUAGCUAACGCGUUAAGUGGGCCGCCUGGGGAGUACGCCCGCAAGGGUGAAACUUAAAGGAAUUGGCGGG